This 579-nucleotide long non-coding RNA is filed under the name Brassica napus (rape). RNAcentral describes it as "long non-coding RNA (BNAP_LNC018743)". Lineage: Eukaryota; Viridiplantae; Streptophyta; Magnoliopsida; Brassicales; Brassicaceae. The record is from RNAcentral.
UUAGAGUUAAGGGGUGGGGUUUAGGAUUUAGGGUUUAGGGUUUAGGGUUUGGGGUUUAGGAUUUAGGGUUUAGGGUUUAGAGUUAAAGGGUGUGGUUUAGGGUUUAGAGUUAAGGGGUGGGGUUUAUGAUUUAGCGUUUAGGGUUUAGGAUUUAGGGUUUAGGGUUUAGAGUUUAGGGGUGGGGUUUAGGGUUUAGGGUUUAGAGUUAAGGGGUGGGGUUUAGGAUUUAGGGUUUAGAGUUUAGGAUUUAGGGUUUAGAAUUUAGGGUUUAGGGUUUAGGGUUUAGAGUUUAGGGGUGGGGUUUAGGGUUUAGGGUUUAUAGUUAAAAGGUGGGGUUUAGUAUUUAGGGUUUAGGAUUUAAGGUUUAAAAUUUAGGAUUUAGGGUUUAGAGUUGGGGAGUGGAGUUUUGGGAUAAGAUUUCAAAUUUUGAAAAAUAAAAAAAAUUUAAAUUUUUCAAAAGAUAAAAUGCUAUUUUGGUCUUUUUAGUUUUUGAGGGCUAUUUUUGUGACAUAAACUUAGAAAUGUGCUACUUUGGAGAUUUGCCCUUGAUUUUAUGAAUAAUUUUAUUUAUCGAAAAUA